Molecule: non-coding RNA, 271 nt
Filed under: Neomoorella thermoacetica
Lineage: Bacteria; Bacillati; Bacillota; Clostridia; Neomoorellales; Neomoorellaceae
Source: RNAcentral
CUACCCAGGUUAUGAUAAAAUAGCCUUAAAAUGAAUAUGUUCCAGGCAAAUACGGGAAGUCAGUGCAAAUCUGACACGGUCCCGCCACUGUGAGGGGGAGCAGGCACCAUAAGCCACUGGCCCACACUCAGCAAAAUCCUGCCGUUACGGGUUAACUUCGUUCAGAAGUUAGCCGGGACGGUUUAGCUAAAGGGGUUGAGUGCUGGACUGGGAAGGCGGUGCGGUAGCUGUGAGCCCGAGUCAGGAUACCGGUUGCCUGGGAAACCUUUAC